RNAcentral lists this ribosomal RNA (656 nucleotides) under unidentified microorganism. RNAcentral describes it as "bacterial SSU rRNA". It matches the Rfam family "Bacterial small subunit ribosomal RNA", at positions 53 to 692 of the family's 1533-position model. The record is from RNAcentral.
ACAUGCAAGUCGAGCGGACAGAAGGGAGCUUGCUCCCNGAUGUUAGCGGCGGACGGGUGAGUAACACGUGGGUAACCUGCCUGUAAGACUGGGAUAACUCCGGGAAACCGGAGCUAAUACCGGAUAGUUCCUUGAACCGCAUGGUUCAAGGAUGAAAGACGGUUUCGGCUGUCACUUACAGAUGGACCCGCGGCGCAUUAGCUAGUUGGUGGGGUAAUGGCUCACCAAGGCGACGAUGCGUAGCCGACCUGAGAGGGUGAUCGGCCACACUGGGACUGAGACACGGCCCAGACUCCUACGGGAGGCAGCAGUAGGGAAUCUUCCGCAAUGGACGAAAGUCUGACGGAGCAACGCCGCGUGAGUGAUGAAGGUUUUCGGAUCGUAAAGCUCUGUUGUUAGGGAAGAACAAGUGCGAGAGUAACUGCUCGCACCUUGACGGUACCUAACCAGAAAGCCACGGCUAACUACGUGCCAGCAGCCGCGGUAAUACGUAGGUGGCAAGCGUUGUCCGGAAUUAUUGGGCGUAAAGGGCUCGCAGGCGGUUUCUUAAGUCUGAUGUGAAAGCCCCCGGCUCAACCGGGGAGGGUCAUUGGAAACUGGGAAACUUGAGUGCAGAAGAGGAGAGUGGAAUUCCACGUGUAGCGGUGAAAUGCGUA